RNAcentral lists this ribosomal RNA (468 nucleotides) under uncultured bacterium. RNAcentral's name for it is "partial 16S ribosomal RNA". It matches the Rfam family "Bacterial small subunit ribosomal RNA", at positions 28 to 507 of the family's 1533-position model. The record is from RNAcentral.
GACGAACGCUGGCGGCGUGCUUAACACAUGCAAGUCGAACGGAAAGGCCCUGCUUUUGUGGGGUGCUCGAGUGGCGAACGGGUGAGUAACACGUGAGUAACCUGCCCUUGACUUUGGGAUAACUUCAGGAAACUGGGGCUAAUACCGGAUAGGAGCUCCUGCUGCAUGGUGGGGGUUGGAAAGUUUCGGCGGUUGGGGAUGGACUCGCGGCUUAUCAGCUUGAUGGGCGGGUAGUUGCUUACCAAGGCUGCGACGGGUAGCCCGCCUGAGAGGGUGAACGGCCACCAUGCGACUGCGAGACGGCGCAGUCGGCUACCGGAGGCAGCAGGGGGGAAUAUUGCAGAACGGGCGGAAGUCAGAUGCAGCAAUGCCGCGUGCGUGAUGACGGGCUUCUGGGUGUAAACCGCUUUCGCCGGUGAUGAAGAGAGAGUGACGGUAAUGGGUAAAGAAGCACCGGCUAACUACGUG